AACCCCGUUCUUCUUCUUCACUAUUAACCGCCAAUUUUUAUGGUUUACACGGCGGAGCAAGAUUAAGUUCGCCAAGUUUAUGCCGGAGAAAUGCCAGAUGAAAGAGAGAUGGAUGCCGAUCUAAAGAUGUCGAAAACGAAGCCAAAUACGAUAAAAAUAACAACUCUAAAGUCGAAGUCAUGUAUCUCUGAAUGCGAAUUUCUCUUGGUUAAUGAUUUAAGGCAUACAUGUGAUUGAGUCCAUUGUUGACUUUAGGGUUUUCUUGCUUUCGAUGUUUGGUUGAUUUAGAUUUGGAUGAUGUGAAUAGAUUGAAGAAGAAGCAAGGGCGUUUCGUUAAAUACAAGCGAAAUUAAAGAAGCAGAUGGGGCUUCACUUACUCAAGGAUUUGGGGAUAUGAAUCAUACAUUGAAGAAGAAGCAGGGGCAGUUCGUGAAAUGCAGGUGAAAUUCGAGAAGAAGAUGGGCUCAACUCAAGGUGUAGUGUUUUCAGCUCAACUUCUUGUACAUGACCGAUAAAGUUAUUGCAAUGACACCUGUCCAUUUGCUUAGAAGAGAGUGUUGGCACUAUGUGCUCUGGACUCCAGCAGCUAGCUUGAUCGAUUACUUCUGAUGCAUAAAAAGUGAUCCGAGUUCUCAUCCAAAUGCAUAGCAAUGGUUCAAUGCCAGAAGCAGGGUCUAGUGUUAAAGUGCUCUUAAAUUCAUUUUCUUUUUUCCAUUCAAGCCCAUUUGUAUCAUGCAUCGUUUGGUUUUCAAAGCUCAUGUUGUAGCAUUAUUUUCAAAGAUGUCG
Long non-coding RNA from Cynara cardunculus var. scolymus (artichoke), 786 nucleotides. RefSeq lists it as uncharacterized. Lineage: Eukaryota; Viridiplantae; Streptophyta; Magnoliopsida; Asterales; Asteraceae. The record is from RefSeq and is a predicted model, not a curated record. The transcript is spliced from 3 exons.